Molecule: unclassified non-coding RNA, 202 nt
Filed under: uncultured fungus
Lineage: Eukaryota; Fungi
Description: sequence contains ITS1, 5.8S rRNA gene
Source: RNAcentral
AUAUUUCAUGAACAUGGAUUGCGGCCGGCUUCAUCGCGGGGCUGGCCGUGUAGUCUGUGACACCCCUUGUGAAAACCCCAUCUUUGCCUCGGCGGCACGCCUCCCCCACCUCCGGGGUGGCGGUCAGUCCGCCGGCGGCACCCAACCAAAACCCAUAACCAUCAAGAAGAAGCUGUCUGAAAUCAAAGGUCUAAUGACUAUA